Non-coding RNA from Mycena sp. CBHHK59/15, 91 nucleotides. The record is from the annotation of a GenBank genome assembly. NCBI's taxonomy places the organism in Eukaryota, Fungi, Basidiomycota, Agaricomycetes, Agaricales, Mycenaceae.
GGCAGUAUGGUGUAAUGCUGCACACGGGAUCUUUGUAGGAUGUCUUUGAGAAUACCACCCUGGGGUCCUUGUUCGAAUCAAGGUACUGCUC